This 1180-nucleotide long non-coding RNA is filed under the name Homo sapiens (human). RNAcentral describes it as "HSALNT0152567". The record is from RNAcentral. Lineage: Eukaryota; Metazoa; Chordata; Mammalia; Primates; Hominidae.
GGGCGCUGUGCGAAGCUAGAAAUAACUGGGGGCAUGGAGAAUGCGGUGGCUGUAAAGGGCCGCUGAGGCGGUGGAGGCCUGGCAGAGAGCGUCCCCGCGGUCGCGGCUUCUGGCUUCUCUGUGGAGCUUGGUUCUUCCGUGGUGGUGCAGCACCCCAGGAACUUCAGGAACCAGUCCUUCCUUGGAGAGCUCCCCGGGACAGCCACGGGGGCCAAGUGAAACUAGCGCGUUUUCUUGGAUCCUACACUUUAUAGUGAGUCAUAAAUACUUUAAAUACAAAGCCAACAACAUUUGCUGCAAAUAAACGUAAAAAUACUGUUAAAGUGUAAAGUGUUUUCCUCCGUACCAUCUGACGUUUCUGGCGGUUCGUUGAACGCGAGAGAACGCUGAGCCGUCUGCACUGAGCCCGGGAGCAUCUUCAGGGCAGCGCCGCCCACGCGCGAGGUGAAUGAAGGACACGGCCUCUUGACACUCCCAGGCAGCACAGAUAGACGGAUCCAUCCCAGUUUCUGACCUGUAGCAUAGUCCCUCUCUCUGAAGAACUUCCUGUAAUAUUUUUUGCUAGGAAGAGUUUGAAGUUUGAAAUCCCAGAAUGAGGAAAUUCAUCCAGCUUGGAGACUUCCAAUCCCUUCAUUGUGCAGAAGGUUGCUAAUGCUCUCAGGAGAAGCCCUUCACCAAGAGAAUACUUCCACAUAGAGUCCUCUCCAUUGAGACUAAGGAAACAUGCUAUGUCAUGUAGCCACAGCAGCCUUUGCAGCUGUUGAAGGCAGCAAGACUUGCAUGGCAAUCAGAAGACACAGAACCAAGACUCAUAUCCAGUUAUAAGAUGGCAGAUGGGACACACACUCAUCAGGCUUAGUGAGCAGCCAAUCCAGAGGGAACCAUACUCAGCCCUAGGGGCUGGGCGCGGUGGCUCUCGCCUGUAAUCCCAGCACUUUGGGAGGCCAAGGCGGAUGGAUCACCUGAGGUCACGAGUUCAAGACCAGCCUGACCAACAUGGAGAAAUCCCAUCUCUACUAAAAAUACAAAAUUAGCUGGGCAUGGUGGUGCAUGCCUGUAAUCCCAGUUACUCGGGAGGCUGAGGCAGGAGAAUCACUCGAACCCGAGAGGCAGAGGUUGUGGUGAGCUGAGAUUGUGCCAUUGCACUCCAGUCUGGGCAACAAGAGUGAAACUCUGUCUC